GCCAGGCAUGGUGGCACAUGCCUGUAAUCCCAGCCGCACAGGAGGCUGAGGCAGGAGGAUUGUGAGUUCAAAGCCAGCCUCAGCAAAAGCAAGGUGUUAAGCAACUUAGCGAGACCCUGUCUCUU
This 125-nucleotide small RNA is filed under the name Marmota monax (woodchuck). The record is from RNAcentral. Lineage: Eukaryota; Metazoa; Chordata; Mammalia; Rodentia; Sciuridae.